Molecule: long non-coding RNA, 2193 nt
Organism: Columba livia (rock pigeon)
Lineage: Eukaryota; Metazoa; Chordata; Aves; Columbiformes; Columbidae
Exons: 2
Source: RefSeq, a predicted model, not a curated record
GAGCACACUCUGGUGCCCUCAUCUGGCUUUGUAAGCUGUGCAGAAGUUCUUUAGCAUCUUCUCUCUUCUUCAAAGAGCCAGCAAAACCAGCCAGUUCCAGCCUGAAUGCUUUCUUUGGCAAUGGAGCCUCAUGGUGGAAAGGGCUGCAUGUGCGUGUGCAGCUGGCUAAGAAAAGAUAUUGAGAAGCUCUGAAGACUUGGAGAAAUUUUUAUCAAAAGGUCAUGUCUUUUCAGAGAACUUGAUCAUCUAUUUUAAAGAAAUCUAUGUGGGAAAAAAAAAAGUUUGUUUAAUUUUUAGUUUUAUUAUAAACUAAUGCUUUUCUGAGGAAAGUAGAUUUUCUUCUAUAAAAAUUAAUAGCUUUCUGUAGCACUUCAACAAUGAAAGGAGAAAUAUCUUAAUUACUUCUAGAUUUGCACUGCAGUCUUAGAAGAGAAUAAAAUUAGAUUCCAAGCAUAUUUUACUAUUUUUCAUGUAACUUCAUAUGCUCCCAGAUGCUUGCCAAUUCUAUUCAGUUUAGAAGGACCAUUUGAAUGAAUCAAGUUGUUUGCUAAGGCUGCAACCUGGGAACUGAUCCAAAACAAGGAGGUGGUCCAAACACUCCUGAACUUUCUGGCAAGACUAAUUUCAAAACUUUCUGGAAUCAAGGGUAUGACCUGGCAGCUGAUGGGAAUAGCAAGUGAGCAUUCAGCAGCAAGCUCUUCAAACACCUCAGGUACAGCUUUACUGCCAACUCUUUUUAUUAAUUUCAGAGCUAUGAUACUUUCAAAAAGCAAGGGAACAUACAUGGAUUUAAAAUGCUGAAAGGUAACAUUGAAAAAAAUUAUUUCUUCCCAACCCCCUACUGCAGCUUCACGGACAGGCAGAACAUGGGGGGCAUCUGCACAGGCUUCAGUAGCAUCCUCAGAAUAUAAAGACCCCCAGUCUGAACUGUGCCAGCGCUGCCUUGAGGGUAGUCCAAGGAGAUGGGUUAGAAAUGGAGUUGCACUGCUUUUCUGCUCCUGGUUUCUGGAAAUCAGUCAGACCUUGGCAUACUUGAAAGCAAUUAGGGAAAACAAAGCAAAACAAAAAGCAGGUCAAUGUAACAUUGCUGAGAGCCUGGCACCGGCCAUUUAUUGUCUGAAUUAACCUUUCACACCAUUUUUUGAUAAAGUUGCUGUUGCCCUACUAAGACAGCAUAAUUUUUUCUCUUCUCUGUGAGGAGCAUCUGGUACCAAAUGUUUGCUGAGGCCAAGCCAAAAACAAAGAGAAGAGAAAACAAGAAUGUUUUCCUGGAGGGCAAGUGUGAUUAUCCAGCUACUAGUUGUACAAUUUAAAAUCAGGACAUAAUGUAUUUCGUGUUUUGCAAAAAGUCUGAGAAGCUGAAACUCCAGGAAAGCAGCAUUUUUAACACUUCACCGCUGGAUGGAGACAGCGCUCUAAAACAUGUAAGUAAUUGCUAAUGGGACUGUAAUGAAAUCCCAUGCGAUAAAGAGGUUGGAUGUAUUAGUAAACACUGCAGCAACAAACAGUGGAACAACAGCUAGAUUUACGGCAGAAAAUGUAUUGAAAGAACAUCCUUUAGAUUUGUGUUUGACCUAUUUUUAUGGUGAGAAAAUGAGAAAUUUAGUUUAAAAAAAAAUUAAUUCCAGUUCUCUCUGCAUACACACAAAGCUGCAAUGACACAGACAGGCAAGAGACAAGGGAAGAUAGAAACUUUCUAGGAUCCUCUUUAUCUUUUUCCAGGUCACAGUAUAUUUUUCCUGACAGAGGGCUUGAUACUGCUGGUACCAGCUGAGGUUCCUCCAGCAAUGGUUGCAGUGGAUGUCUGGUUUGCAGAGGAGAUGCUUCCCUUGCUCAAGGACCAUAAGGAGGAAGUCACUGGGUGGGAAGCAGCAGCAGAAACAAUUUCCACCCAACCUGCAGGCUGGUAGGAAGAUCUUCAGAGAUCACUGCAUUCUCAGGGAUGAGAGUACAGAUUGGGGACAUCCUGCCCUAUCGGGGUUAAUUUCUCUCCUCACAUAUGUUAAGGUGGUUUUGCACAUUUUCUUCCAUCUUUGCGUGUGUGUGUGUGUAGGAGACAGAGGGAAGGAGGGAAAGUCUGUGGUGGUUUUUAGCCCAGUGUCUCACAUAAUCACACUAUGCUUUUCUGUUUCCAGAAAUAACUUUUGAAUUUAUUGGAUGAAUUAAAGAUGAAUUAAAUGAAUUCAAAAAUAA